Molecule: long non-coding RNA, 487 nt
Organism: Notolabrus celidotus (New Zealand spotty)
Lineage: Eukaryota; Metazoa; Chordata; Actinopteri; Labriformes; Labridae
Exons: 2
Source: RefSeq, a predicted model, not a curated record
AAUAUUUAUAUACAAGGCCAACUAUCAACCUACAUGGUUUGGCCUCAGGGUCAGUCCACCUAAUGUUGGAUGUAAAACCUUGUCUUAAAGAGGGGGCCCUAUGCCAAAUUCUAAGAACUGCGCAGCCAGGAUCCUGCUGAGAGUGCUUAAACAUGAACUUAUCACAUCCAUCCUACAUUCACUCCACUGGCUCCCGGUUUCACACAGGAUCGACUUCAGAAUCACAUCAGUGCAUCCAUGGAAACGCCCCCACAUACUUGAAAGAACUGCUGAACCCACAGACCACUACAAGAACCCUCCGCUCCACCAACACCAACCGCCUCCACUGCCCUUGAACCAGACUCCACACUAUGGGAGACCGGGCAUUUUACUCUGCUGACCCAUGACUGUGGAAUGCCCUCCCUGACCACCUGAGAGCACCAUAGACCAGGGGUUCCCAAACUUUUCAGCCCGUGACCCCCAAAAUAUAGGUGCCAAAGACUCGUGA